CAUAGCGACUAUCGUGGCAUAUCAAUAAGCGGAGGAAAAGAAACUAACAAGGAUUCCCUUAGUAACGGCGAGUGAAGCGGGAAGAGCUCAAAUUUGAAAUCUUCAAGGUUCUACCUUGACGAGUUGUAGUUUAUAGAAGUGUUUUCUGUUAGUAGGAGUAGUAAAAGUUCUUUGGAAUAGGACAUCAUAGAGGGUGAGAAUCCCGUAUUUGGUCAUUCUUUCUAGCUUUGUGAUACACUUUCAACGAGUCGGAUUGUUUGGGAAUGCAGUCCAAAAUGGGUGGUAAAUUUCAUCUAAAGCUAAAUAUUGGCGAGAGACCGAUAGCGAACAAGUACCGUGAGGGAAAGAUGAAAAGAACUUUGAAAAGAGAGUUAAACAGUACGUGAAAUUGUCAAAAGGGAAGCGUUUGACACCAGUGUUGUUUUUCCGAAAAUCAAUUACGAAUGUUUUAUUUUUGAGAAGUUAUGACUUCAUCGGCUUGCUCCUUUCUUUAUGAAACUUUCUUAAUGCACUUUUCGGUUAACAAGUCAACAUCAAUUUCUCUUGUUGUAAAAGGGUAUGAGGAAGGUGGCUUUCUUUUCGGAGAAAGUGUUUAUAGCCUUGUACCUCUGCAAUCGGAGAGAUUGAGGUCUGCAGCGUAGAUCCUUCGGGGUUAGAUACAUUUGUGCUAAGUUAUAGCUUUUCAUAGACAACUUGUUGACUAUGUUUAGUCUUGUAGCUUACUCGCUUACUGCUAUUUUACCUACGCUUAGGAUGUUGAUAGUCACAGCGUGUA
Molecule: ribosomal RNA, 775 nt
Filed under: uncultured Neocallimastigales
Lineage: Eukaryota; Fungi; Neocallimastigomycota; Neocallimastigomycetes; Neocallimastigales
Description: partial large subunit ribosomal RNA
Rfam family: Eukaryotic large subunit ribosomal RNA
Source: RNAcentral